This is a non-coding RNA of Phrynosoma platyrhinos (Desert horned lizard), 74 nucleotides long. The record is from the annotation of a GenBank genome assembly. NCBI's taxonomy places the organism in Eukaryota, Metazoa, Chordata, Lepidosauria, Squamata, Phrynosomatidae.
AUGAUUAUGGUGAAGUGGUUUAAGCACUGGACUACGACUCUGGAGACCAGGGAUCAAUUCCCUGAUCGGUCAUA